This 254-nucleotide ribosomal RNA is filed under the name uncultured Eubacteriales bacterium. RNAcentral's name for it is "uncultured Clostridiales bacterium partial 16S ribosomal RNA". It matches the Rfam family "Bacterial small subunit ribosomal RNA", at positions 524 to 776 of the family's 1533-position model. Lineage: Bacteria; Bacillati; Bacillota; Clostridia; Eubacteriales. The record is from RNAcentral.
UACGUAGGGGGCAAGCGUUAUCCGGAUUUACUGGGUGUAAAGGGAGCGUAGGUGGCAUGGCAAGCCAGAAGUGAAAACCCGGGGCUUAACCCCGCGGAUUGCUUUUGGAACUGUCAGGCUGGAGUGCAGGAGGGGCAGGCGGAAUUCCUGGUGUAGCGGUGAAAUGCUUAGAGAUCAUACAGAACACCGAUUGCGAAGGCAGCUUACCAAACUAUAUCUGACGUUGAGGCACGAAAGCGUGGGUAGCAAACAGG